GACAGAGGUGCCAAGCGUUAGGCGGAAUCACUGGGCUUAAAGCGUGUGUAGGCGGACUUUUAAGUGCCUUGUGAAAUCCCACGGCUCAACCGUGGAAUGGCUGGGCAUACUGGGAGUCUUGAGCCACCUAGGGGUCGCUGGAACAAACGGUGGAGCGGUGAAAUGCGUAGAGAUCGGAAAGAACACCAACGGCGAAAGCACUCUGCUGGGCCGACACUGACACUGAGAGACGAAAGCUAGGGGAGCGAAUGGG
RNAcentral lists this ribosomal RNA (253 nucleotides) under uncultured bacterium. RNAcentral's name for it is "partial 16S ribosomal RNA". It matches the Rfam family "Bacterial small subunit ribosomal RNA", at positions 524 to 776 of the family's 1533-position model. The record is from RNAcentral.